Molecule: unclassified non-coding RNA, 345 nt
Filed under: soil metagenome
Description: partial contains 5.8S ribosomal RNA, internal transcribed spacer 2, and large subunit ribosomal RNA
Rfam family: 5.8S ribosomal RNA (bases 1-120)
Source: RNAcentral
GAUGAAGAACGUAGCGAAAUGCGAUACGUAAUGUGAAUUGCAGAAUUCAGUGAAUCAUCGAGUCUUUGAACGCACAUUGCGCCCCCUGGUAUUCCGGGGGGCAUGCCUGUCCGAGCGUCAUUGCUGCCCUCAAGCACGGCUUGUGUGUUGGGCCUCCGUCCUCCUCCCGGGGGACGGGCCCGAAAGGCAGCGGCGGCACCGCGUCCGGUCCUCGAGCGUAUGGGGCUUCGUCACCCGCUCUUGUAGGCCCGGCCGGCGCUUGCCGACACAUCAAUCUUUUUUCCAGGUUGACCUCGGAUCAGGUAGGGUUACCCGCUGAACUUAAGCAUAUCAAUAAGCGGAGGA